RNAcentral lists this ribosomal RNA (458 nucleotides) under uncultured bacterium. Its description in RNAcentral is "SSU rRNA". It matches the Rfam family "Bacterial small subunit ribosomal RNA", at positions 26 to 518 of the family's 1533-position model. The record is from RNAcentral.
AGAAUCAACGCUGGCGGCGUGCCUAACACAUGCAAGUCGAACGAGAAAGUGGAGCAAUCCAUGAGUACAGUGGCGCACGGGUGAGUAACACGUGACUAACCUACCCUUGAGUUCGGAAUAACUUCGGGAAACCGAGGCUAAUACCGGAUAAUAUCUACGGAUCAAAGGAGCAAUUCGCUUAAGGAGGGGGUCGCGGCAGAUUAGUUAGUUGGCGGGGUAAUGGCCCACCAAGACGAUGAUCUGUAUCCGGCCUGAGAGGGCGCACGGACACACUGGAACUGAAACACGGUCCAGACUCCUACGGGAGGCAGCAGUGGGGAAUUUGCGCAAUGGGGGAAACCCUGACGCAGCAACGCCGCGUGGAGGAUGAAAUCCCUUGGGAUGUAAACUCCUUUCGAUCGGGACGAUUAUGACGGUACCGGAAGAAGAAGCCCGGCUAACUUCGUGCCAGCAGCCGC